UACGGAGGAUCCAAGCGUUAUCCGGAAUCAUUGGGUUUAAAGGGUCCGUAGGCGGUUUUAUAAGUCAGUGGUGAAAUCUGGUCGCUCAACGAUCAAACGGCCAUUGAUACUGUAGAACUUGAAUUACUUGGAAGUAACUAGAAUAUGUAGUGUAGCGGUGAAAUGCUUAGAGAUUACAUGGAAUACCAAUUGCGAAGGCAGGUUACUACGAGUAUAUUGACGCUGAUGGACGAAAGCGUGGGGAGCGAACAGG
This 253-nucleotide ribosomal RNA is filed under the name uncultured bacterium. RNAcentral describes it as "partial 16S ribosomal RNA". It matches the Rfam family "Bacterial small subunit ribosomal RNA", at positions 524 to 776 of the family's 1533-position model. The record is from RNAcentral.